Puma concolor (puma) is the source of this 626-nucleotide long non-coding RNA. RefSeq lists it as uncharacterized. The record is from RefSeq and is a predicted model, not a curated record. Lineage: Eukaryota; Metazoa; Chordata; Mammalia; Carnivora; Felidae.
AGGUAGGCGGAGCAGGGUUUAUUAUCACCGUGGUACAGCUGGAGACACUGAGGGUCCGAGGGGCCCAUGUGACUCAGCCCAGGUCACGGGACUAAGAAGCAGCUGAGCUGGAACUCAGGCUGGGUCUCCUGACGGUGAGUUGGAUGCCCAGGUGACCGGGAGCCUCCACAGCCACUCGGUGCUCAGGUGAGGAAAUGGAAGCCCUGAGAAGUUUAAUGUCGUACGGGAUUGCUGCAGAGCUGGGACUUGCACCCGGGCCUCUGGGUGCUAACGUCAAUGAGCUUCACUGUGGCGUUGUACUGCAUGGAGAAGAUCCUGGAAAGGCUCGCAACAAUUUCCAAAGCGGGGAAGGAGUCCUCCUGUUAGAGCAGGUUGGAAACCACUGAGCCGGGCUGUGGAGGCAGCAUGUUCUACCCCCUCAGCAGAGACGGAGUCAUGAGACCUGAGGUCAGGUUCCAGCCCCUCCCCUGGCUGGUUGGAUGAUCUUGGGGGCCAUCCCAUGUGACUUGGAGAGCUUUGGUUUCCCCACCCUGGAGCAGAGAUCACGAAAAUUAUUUGGCUGGAUUGUCAAGAAGAUUAAAUGAGAUAGAUAAAGGGCUUUGGAAGCCGUGAGGCUUUGCGGAAGU